AGUGAACGCUGGCGGUAGGCCUAACACAUGCAAGUCGAACGGCAGCACAGUAAGAGCUUGCUCUUACGGGUGGCGAGUGGCGGACGGGUGAGGAAUACAUCGGAAUCUACUUUUUCGUGGGGGAUAACGUAGGGAAACUUACGCUAAUACCGCAUACGACCUACGGGUGAAAGCAGGGGAUCUUCGGACCUUGCGCGAUUGAAUGAGCCGAUGUCGGAUUAGCUAGUUGGCGGGGUAAAGGCCCACCAAGGCGACGAUCCGUAGCUGGUCUGAGAGGAUGACCAGCCACACUGGAACUGAGACACGUUCCAGACUCCUACGGGAGGCCGCAGUGGGGAAUAUUGGACAAUGGGCGCAAGCCUGAUCCAGCCAUACCGCGUGGGUGAAGAAGGCCUUCGGGUUUUAAAGCCCUUUUGUUGGGAAAGAAAAGCAGCAGGUUAAUACCCCGCUGUUCUGACGGUACCCAAAGAAUAAGCACCGGCUAACUUCGUG
RNAcentral lists this ribosomal RNA (492 nucleotides) under uncultured bacterium. Its description in RNAcentral is "partial 16S ribosomal RNA". It matches the Rfam family "Bacterial small subunit ribosomal RNA", at positions 29 to 507 of the family's 1533-position model. The record is from RNAcentral.